GAGUAUAUUAAUCUGGAGGUCGA
This 23-nucleotide non-coding RNA is filed under the name Arabidopsis thaliana (thale cress). The record is from RNAcentral. Lineage: Eukaryota; Viridiplantae; Streptophyta; Magnoliopsida; Brassicales; Brassicaceae.